This 253-nucleotide ribosomal RNA is filed under the name uncultured bacterium. RNAcentral describes it as "partial 16S ribosomal RNA". It matches the Rfam family "Bacterial small subunit ribosomal RNA", at positions 524 to 776 of the family's 1533-position model. The record is from RNAcentral.
UACGGAGGGUGCAAGCGUUAUCCGGAUUCACUGGGUUUAAAGGGUGCGUAGGUGGGCAGGUAAGUCAGUGGUGAAAUCUCCGGGCUUAACCCGGAAACUGCCAUUGAUACUAUCUGUCUUGAAUACCGUGGAGGUGAGCGGAAUAUGUCAUGUAGCGGUGAAAUGCUUAGAUAUGUCAUAGAACACCGAUUGCGAAGGCAGCUUACUGGGCUUUGAUUGACGCUGAGGCACGAAAGCGUGGGGAGCAAACAGG